RNAcentral lists this ribosomal RNA (1145 nucleotides) under uncultured bacterium. RNAcentral describes it as "bacterial SSU rRNA". It matches the Rfam family "Bacterial small subunit ribosomal RNA", at positions 353 to 1482 of the family's 1533-position model. The record is from RNAcentral.
AGUGCGGAAUUUUAGAUAAUGGAGGGAACUCUGAUCUAGCGACGCCGCGUGCAGGAAGAAGGUCUUCGGAUUGUAAACUGCUGUGGUAAGGGAAAAAUGCUAUGUAGAGUGGAAAGCUACAUAGAGGGAUGGUACCUUACUAGAAAGCCCCGGCUAACUACGUGCCAGCAGCCGCGGUAAUACGUAGGGGGCGAGCGUUACCCGGAAUCACUGGGCGUAAAGGGAGCGUAGGUGGCCUAACAUGUCAACUGUGAAAACCCGGAGCUCAACUCCGGACUUGCAGUUGAAACUGGUAGGCUUGAGGACGGUAGAGGAAGACGGAACUGCCAGUGUAGGGGUAAAAUCCUUAGAUAUUGGCAGGAACGCCGGUGACGAAGGUGGUUUUCUGGGCCGGUUCUGACACUGAUGCUCGAAAGCCAGGGGAGCGAACGGGAUUAGAUACCCCGGUAGUCCUGGCCCUAAACGAUGUUCACUAGGUGUGGGGAGCGGAAAGCUCUCCGUGCUAAAGCUAACGCGAUAAGUGAACCGCCUGGGGAGUACGCCCGCCAAGGGUGAAACUCAAAGGAAUUGACGGGGACCCGCACAAGCGGUGGAGCGUGUGUUUAAUUCGAUGCUAAGCGAAGGACCUUACCAAGGUUUGACAUGCUAAUGGUAGUGAAUUGAAAGAGGAACGACCACACUAUGUGUGGAGUUAGCACAGGUGGUGCACGGCCGUCGUCAGCUCGUGUCGUGAGGUGUUGGGUUAAGUCCCGCAACGAGCGCAACCCCUGCUCUUAGUUACCAGCGGUAAGGCCGGGUACUCUAAGAGGACCGCCGCCGACGAGGCGGAGGAAGGGGGGGAUGAAGUCAGGUAUCGUGCCCCUUAUAUCUUGGGCGACACACGCGCUACAAUGGGUUGGACAGAAGGGACCAAGACAGCGAUGUGGAGGAAAUCCUCAAACCAGCCCCCAGUUCAGAUUGCAGGCUGAAACCCGCCUGCAUGAAGCCGGAAUCGCUAGUAAUCGCAGAUCAGCCAAGCUGCGGUGAAUACGUUCCCGGGUCUUGUACACACCGCCCGUCAAGCCACCCGAGUUGGUAACACCUGAAGAUGAGUAUCCUAACCGAAAGGAGGGAGCUUGUUUAGGGUGGGAUCGGCAAGGGGGGCU